GCGCCCGUAGCUCAACUGGAUAGAGUAUCGGCCUCCGAAGCCGAGGGUUGUGGGUUCGAUUCCCGCCGGGCGCA
This 74-nucleotide transfer RNA is filed under the name Chthoniobacterales bacterium. RNAcentral describes it as "tRNA-Arg". It matches the Rfam family "tRNA". From Rfam's summary of the family: Transfer RNA (tRNA) molecules are approximately 80 nucleotides in length. Their secondary structure includes four short double-helical elements and three loops (D, anti-codon, and T loops). Further hydrogen bonds mediate the characteristic L-shaped molecular structure. tRNAs have two regions of fundamental functional importance: the anti-codon, which is responsible for specific mRNA codon recognition, and the 3' end, to which the tRNAs corresponding amino acid is attached (by aminoacyl-tRNA synthetases). tRNAs cope with the degeneracy of the genetic code in two manners: having more than one tRNA (with a specific anti-codon) for a particular amino acid; and 'wobble' base-pairing, i.e. permitting non-standard base-pairing at the 3rd anti-codon position. The record is from RNAcentral. Lineage: Bacteria; Pseudomonadati; Verrucomicrobiota; Spartobacteria; Chthoniobacterales.